Long non-coding RNA from Macrosteles quadrilineatus (aster leafhopper), 312 nucleotides. RefSeq lists it as uncharacterized. The record is from RefSeq and is a predicted model, not a curated record. The transcript has 2 exons. Lineage: Eukaryota; Metazoa; Arthropoda; Insecta; Hemiptera; Cicadellidae.
GUCAGUGGAAGGUCAGCACUGGGCUAAGUUUGUUGAGAACUCGUCGACAAGACGAGAUUCAAGGUGAAUUAAUUACCUUAUAUACUGCCAUGGUGAAUGUCAAUAACUAUGAGUAGCAGUAAGAACAGCCCAGGGGAGCCUAACCACUGAUUAUGUCACAGUUUAAAGUAAGAUCCACACAUUUAUUUUGUUUUGGGGUCUAAUAUAGCCAACUGUUUAUUUAAUGUAGUCUUAUUUUUGAAGGAAGAAUUUAUUUUGGUUGUACAUGUCUUUGAAUUUGAGUUCAAGUAAAUAAACAUCAAUAUCAUUGAA